RNAcentral lists this ribosomal RNA (474 nucleotides) under uncultured fungus. Its description in RNAcentral is "eukaryotic LSU rRNA". The stretch from base 141 to 292 matches the Rfam family "5.8S ribosomal RNA". The record is from RNAcentral. Lineage: Eukaryota; Fungi.
AACCUGCGGAGGGAUCAUUAAAAAGAUGGGUCCUCUGGGACCCUUCAUCCACAAACCUGCGGAAGUGAGAUGUGCUUCGGCGCCUCUGGGCGUCGAGUCUAUGCUGUUUAGCUUUGUGUCUGAAGAAAAACAAAAUUUAAAACUUUCAACAAAGGAUCUCUUGGCUCUCGUAUCGAUGAAGAACGCAGCAAAGCGCGAAAUGUAAUGUGAAUUGCAGAACAUUGUGAAUCAUCGAAUCUUUGAACGCACAUUGCGCCUCCCGUAAAUGGGAGGCAUGCCUGUCUGAGCGUCAUUUAAAACCAUAACCCUUUGGGUUGUAUUGGGACUCACCCAUGGGUGUCUCCUCAAAGUCAUCGUGUCUAAAAGCGUACGAGUUCCAUUAGGACAGAACGUUUGAGGACCCUAAACUCUCUGACUUGACCUCAGAUCAGGUAGGACUACCGCCUGAACUUAAGCAUAUCAAUAAGCGGAGGA